AUUGAACGCUGGCGGCAGGCCUAACACAUGCAAGUCGAGCGGAUGAGAGGAGCUUGCUCCUCGAUUCAGCGGCGGACGGGUGAGUAAUGCCUAGGAAUCUGCCCAGUAGUGGGGGACAACGUUUCGAAAGGAACGCUAAUACCGCAUACGUCCUACGGGAGAAAGUGGGGGAUCUUCGGACCUCACGCUAUUGGAUGAGCCUAGGUCGGACUAGCUAGUUGGUAGGGUAAAGGCCUACCAAGGCGACGAUCCGUAACUGGUCUGAGAGGAUGAUCAGUCACACUGGAACUGAGACACGGUCCAGACUCCUACGGGAGGCAGCAGUGGGGAAUAUUGGACAAUGGGCGCAAGCCUGAUCCAGCCAUGCCACGUGUGUGAAGAAGGCCCUCGGGUCGUAAAGCACUUUAAGUUGGGAGGAAGGGCUUACAGCGAAUACCUGUGAGUUUUGACGUUACCGACAGAAUAAGCACCGGCUAACUUCGUGCCAGCAGCCGCAGUAA
RNAcentral lists this ribosomal RNA (500 nucleotides) under uncultured bacterium. RNAcentral describes it as "partial 16S ribosomal RNA". It matches the Rfam family "Bacterial small subunit ribosomal RNA", at positions 30 to 523 of the family's 1533-position model. The record is from RNAcentral.